Long non-coding RNA from Peromyscus eremicus (cactus mouse), 261 nucleotides. RefSeq lists it as uncharacterized. The transcript has 3 exons. Lineage: Eukaryota; Metazoa; Chordata; Mammalia; Rodentia; Cricetidae. The record is from RefSeq and is a predicted model, not a curated record.
AACUGUUGUUAAGUGAGUUGAGCUCCUCUAGGAAGUCACAGGGUUCACACGGAUUUCAUCUACGAGCUGAUUCAGAACAGGCCUUCUUUCAGGACUGUUUCUGGUAAGAGGGGAACUGACUGACCUCAGCAAGCUGCAUUCCACAGGUUCUCAGAUUCUUCAUGCUGGAUGGCAGACCUAGUCAGAGUCUCCAGAGAACCCCGCUGGACUGCACCUCACCUCUCCUGGACCCUGUAACCUUUACUGGCUAUAAGUUACCCC